This 411-nucleotide ribosomal RNA is filed under the name uncultured bacterium. RNAcentral's name for it is "bacterial SSU rRNA". It matches the Rfam family "Bacterial small subunit ribosomal RNA", at positions 355 to 764 of the family's 1533-position model. The record is from RNAcentral.
UAAGGAAUAUUGGUCAAUGGACGCAAGUCUGAACCAGCCAUGCCGCGUGAAGGAUGAAGGUCCUCUGGAUUGUAAACUUCUUUUACCUGGGACGAAAACGGGAUUUUUAUCUCAAUUGACGGUACCAGAGGAAUAAGCACCGGCUAACUCCGUGCCAGCAGCCGCGGUAAUACGGAGGGUGCGAGCGUUAUCCGGAUUUACUGGGUUUAAAGGGUGCGUAGGUGGGCUUAUAAGUCAGUGGUGAAGUCUCCGAGCUUAACUUGGAAACUGCCGUUGAUACUAUAGGUCUUGAAUUAUCUGGAGGUAAGCGGAAUAUGUCAUGUAGCGGUGAAAUGGUUAGAUAUGACAUAGAACACCAAUUGCGAAGGCAGCUUACUACAUAUAAAUUGACGCUGAGGCACGAAAGCGUGG